AUUCGACCAUGUCAGAUGCAGUUUUGCUUGGAAGGGAGCUGGUAUAUUUGUAAUUGAUGUGUAUGAUGGCAUGUCUUCUGAAUGCAAGCUUCGUCUCAAUAGGAGAUCCUCCAACUUCAGUGUAUUGAAGUUUGACGGAUUGGAGAAUCAGAUGGUAGUCGCUGGAGAUGCAAGGAACUCCCAUGCUUGCAGCGAUGCACUUGGUGGGCAUUCCUUGCAUUUGUCCUGUAGAAUCACGCGGGUACAUGUAUUUAAUUAUAGCAAAGUCACCAUGUCUUUAUCAUGCCAGUAUGCCAAUGCCCAGAAAUUAGAUAACAGAGGGAAGUCACCAGCUCUGAAAGCAUACCAAAUAUUUCAGUUUUUAGGCCACUGCUCAAUUUUGAAGAGCUACUCCUUUGAACUAGAUAUGUGAGCUUUUUGUAAACUACAGGAUAUCAUAGUUUGCUAACUGGAAAAAGAACUCUUUGAUGUUGGGCAUAUCCUGUAGUACUUAAAUCAUUAUUUUUUUACACAUGUGAUGCAAAUCUUAUUCGUUUAGAAAAAUGGUGAAUCUACAGGAUUGGUAUGAACUCAGAAUACAAAUUUUGGGACAUCUAUUAACAUUGAAAGAGAAUGAAUGUGAAGACAAUAUGUGUGCUGGUGUCCUGGGAUUCAUCAGUUGUAUCAGGAAAACCAAAGUAAAACAGGACAUCAUUGUUCUCCAAUAUGAAACUAUAGAGAAGGGACCUGACGUACAUUUGUGUAACACAGUUCAGUAAACACGUCUGGAGACUAUUUCUUCUUCGAGAUUGAUUUACUUGGUGGUGCUAUUGCCCAUUUCCUCUUAACAAGACAUGUGUGAUGUUCCAGAAAAGGAGCUUAUGUGUUGUCUGGUAGCCUUGAUGGUAGUUUUAUACAUGUAGCUGAGGAAAGUGUG
Molecule: long non-coding RNA, 916 nt
Organism: Triticum dicoccoides
Lineage: Eukaryota; Viridiplantae; Streptophyta; Magnoliopsida; Poales; Poaceae
Exons: 3
Source: RefSeq, a predicted model, not a curated record